RNAcentral lists this small RNA (293 nucleotides) under Pan troglodytes (chimpanzee). RNAcentral's name for it is "processed transcript". Lineage: Eukaryota; Metazoa; Chordata; Mammalia; Primates; Hominidae. The record is from RNAcentral.
GCAGGACUAUGGGCCAGUGCCAGAGCCAGGCUUGUCUGUUCUCAAAGGAUCAGCCUCCUUUGGGGGACAUUUUGUGUCAAGGAUAGGGCUGAGGACCUGCGUUCUGAACGUCUUUCCUGGGAUUCUUGACAGCCAAAGAAAUUCGAGGAUCGCCUCUAUGAAGGUGCCAGGGAAACGGAGUCAUCGACCCAAGAAGGUCGUGGGAGAUGAGGUCCCAGGGUAAACAGCGGGUCCCGCCACUAUGUCACCCUUUCCUGCCGCCUCCCCGGAUGAACUGCAUGCAGGGCGGCCGG